CAGCCGCCACGGGAAUACAGAGGGUGCGAGCGUUAAUCGGAUUUACUGGGCGUAAAGCGUGCGUAGGCGGCUUUUUAAGUCGGAUGUGAAAUCCCUGAGCUUAACUUAGGAAUUGCAUUCGAUACUGGGAAGCUAGAGUAUGGGAGAGGAUGGUAGAAUUCCAGGUGUAGCGGUGAAAUGUGUAGAGAUCUGGAGGAAUACCGAUGGCGAAGGCAGCCAUCUGGCCUAAUACUGACGCUGAGGUACGAAAGCAUGGGGAGCAAACAGGAUUAGAUACCCCUGUAGUCCCUGUCUCUUAUAC
Molecule: ribosomal RNA, 301 nt
Filed under: uncultured bacterium
Lineage: Bacteria
Description: partial 16S ribosomal RNA
Rfam family: Bacterial small subunit ribosomal RNA
Source: RNAcentral